RNAcentral lists this ribosomal RNA (451 nucleotides) under uncultured bacterium. RNAcentral's name for it is "partial 16S ribosomal RNA". It matches the Rfam family "Bacterial small subunit ribosomal RNA", at positions 29 to 523 of the family's 1533-position model. The record is from RNAcentral.
AACGAACGCUGGCGGCAUGCCUAACACAUGCAAGUCGAACGAGUGCCUUCGGGUGCUAGUGGCGCACGGGUGCGUAACGCGUGGGAAUCUGCCCCUUGGUUCGGAAUAACGGCUGGAAACGGUCGCUAAUACCGGAUGACGACGAAAGUCCAAAGAUUUAUCGCCGAGGGAUGAGCCCGCGUUGGAUUAGCUAGUUGGUGUGGUAAAGGCGCACCAAGGCGACGAUCCAUAGCUGGUCUGAGAGGAUGAUCAGCCACACUGGGACUGAGACACGGCCCAGACUCCUACGGGAGGCAGCAGUGGGGAAUAUUGGACAAUGGGCGCAAGCCUGAUCCAGCAAUGCCGCGUGAGUGAUGAAGGCCUUAGGGUUGUAAAGCUCUUUUACCCGGGAUGAUAAUGACAGUACCGGGAGAAUAAGCUCCGGCUAACUCCGUGCCAGCCGCCGCAGUAA